Molecule: ribosomal RNA, 407 nt
Filed under: uncultured bacterium
Lineage: Bacteria
Description: bacterial SSU rRNA
Rfam family: Bacterial small subunit ribosomal RNA
Source: RNAcentral
UGGGGAAUAUUGCGCAAUGGGCGGAAGCCUGACGCAGCAACGCCGCGUGCGGGAUGACGGCCUUCGGGUUGUAAACCGCUUUCAGCAGGGACGAAGCUUUUGUGACGGUACCUGCAGAAGAAGCACCGGCCAACUACGUGCCAGCAGCCGCGGUGGUACGUAGGGUGCAAGCGUUGUCCGGAAUUAUUGGGCGUAAAGAGCUUGUAGGCGGUUUGUCGCGUCGAAAGUGAAAACUCGGGCCUUAAUCCUGAGCUUGCUUUCGAUACGGGCUGGCUAGAGGAAUGUAGGGGAGAAUGGAAUUCCUGGUGGAGCGGUGGAAUGCGCAGAUAUCAGGAGGAACACCAGUGGCGAAGGCGGUUCUCUGGACAUUUCCUGACGCUGAGAAGCGAAAGCGUGGGGAGCAAACA